Long non-coding RNA from Vidua macroura (Pin-tailed whydah), 1032 nucleotides. RefSeq lists it as uncharacterized. Lineage: Eukaryota; Metazoa; Chordata; Aves; Passeriformes; Viduidae. The transcript is spliced from 3 exons. The record is from RefSeq and is a predicted model, not a curated record.
UUUUCUGACUCCAAUCUUUUAUAGUUCUCAAAAGAUGCCAGUGGAUUGGAGGGUGAAUGUGCCACCUCUCCAACGACACUGGACAAACUACCUGUACAUCAAAUUUCUCCGCCUCUAUGAAAGAAUGCAAAACAAUAGGUUAUUUACAGAAAGUUGUGUGAGAAAGUUCUCUACAAGAAUGUAAACUCAGAAGGCUUUAGAAAACUCUUGAUAACCAGGGCGACAGUCCGGCUCUCUGUCUCUUUCCCUCUAGUGGGGGGAACAAAGACAUCUCCACUUCUCUCCACCGUUCCAUCCGCAGGAGCUGGCUCGGUUCUAGACCUUCAGCCCCCUUGGCCUACCUGGACCAGGCCGCACGGCUUCCCCUCCCGCACCCAGCCUGUGGCUGGGCAGGGGAGAGUCUGCACUGCACUCUGACCGGAACCAAAGAGACAGUUCCCCUGGGAGUUCUUGCUUUUUGUGUGCUCAGAGGUGUGUCUAUACUUUCAGUGGUCAUUCCAGGUGCCAGUAUCCAAACCUGACCACUGAUUGGUUUGACCCGAACUUUCUGAAAAAUUCACUUCCGUGUCAAGCCACAACUCUGCUUCUAAAUGCUGCUCCUUCAGCUCUAAAAGGCUGCAGGAGAUGAGAACACAACAUUUGCCAACACUGACUGCAAGCCACAGCUGCGGGUGCUCCCUGUGAACCUCAGCUGUGGGACCACUGUCUGCCCCAAGCUUCAGGGGCUGCAGUGGGAGCCUGGCUGGGCUCUGCCCUGGGGCCAUCCUGCAGGGACAGCUGCAAACAGGGAGCAUUCCCUUGCCACCAAGAGCCAAGCCGGGGCUGCAGGGCAGCUGCUCCAGCCCAGACUGCACUGCUGAGUGCUGUGCUCUGGGGCUGGGGCUCCCCGCACAGGGGACUGGACUGGGAUGCCAGAGGAGACCAAGAAGCUGCAGCUUCAGCCGAACUGAGAUCUUCAGGGCUGUGCUGAGGAUCCCCUCUGAGCAGGGAUGGCACAAAGCCUUUUCCACCUGCCUCCCUCACCUGGCCGUG